CAUGUUUCCCUCGGCCCCUGUUCUUCAAAUUCCCCACCUCAACCUUCACAACCCUCACCUGCUUAAGCUUCACAACCGUCCCAUGAUGGUGAGCCUUUCUUCACAGGGGUGAGAACCUGUGCAUCAAAGAAAUCAGGGAACAAGAGAGAAAGAGAAUCCGGAGAAGUCUCAAGAGAAUCUGGAGAAGUCUCAGAACUCAAUGAAGGAAGCUUAAACAACAUCCAAAUAAACUUCAAACUACAGACCAUGUUGGUAAGUCCUUCUCACCCAAUCCUCACUUGAAGUAGUUUAAGACAGGAGGGACAAUAGCUUGGCAAACGAAAGUUGUCAUCUCUUCCAUUAUGUUGAUGUAUAAAUACAUAUAUUAAGACACAUACUCACUAAAGAAAUAUAUUAUGCAUAUCAGCAAGAUCACCACAAAAUCACAAGAUAUCAGUCUAUGGCACAGCACUAGACUCGAACAAGAUUGUUUCGUUCAAUAUCCUCCUUCCUUCCUGUUUUGGAAGGCACACUACAUCCCAGCUAGUCUUUGCUCCCCUAGCAUGAGCUUGUUUACCCUUCCACAAGUAUGUUUGCAUUUUUUUUUUCACUGCUUUUAAUACUUUUUUUUUGGGAAGCAUAAAGGCAGAGCACCAGAAAUUUACAAGAGAGUGGAAAUCCCGGAAGAUAUACAAAUAAACCUGUAAAGUGUAAAGUACAAACCUGUGAAGAAAGACUUACCAUCAUGUGACGGUUGUGAAGCUUAAAAAGGUGAGGAUUGUGAAGGUUGAGGCGGGGAAUGUGAAGAACACGGUGAAGAACAGUGGCUGAGGGAAACAUGGUGAAGAACGGGGGAGGGAGGAAGAGAGCCGUAGAAGAACCACGGGCAGAGAAGGGAUAGCUUUCUUUUGCAGUAUAAUCCCUCUCUCAGAGCCACUGGACAAGGAAGAAGAGCUGAAGGUUCUCAGCCUUGCCGCUUGCCAAAAAUUGCCCAGCAUUGUUGUUUCUUUUGGUCAGAGGGAUGCUGAUAUUGGCCGUGAGCAUGCUGAUUUUCGCCUGGAGGAUGUUGCAUUGGGCCAUAACACCGCUUCAUAUCAUAUCUUAGCAAAAUAUGAGGAACUUGAACACAAGAUCAAUGAGCUAGUUAACCUUGGAGUUAUCAAAGAAUCACUUUCCUUCUAACCAGAGAAGAAGGGUCACGGAGAAAGAAGUUGCUCAAAAGGGACUCCAACUGCAAGACACUCUUUUUGACGAUAGCUCAACUAAAGCUUAUUUGGGUCGGGUCGAUUGAUCGCUUUGAAAAGUUCCAGCUUCAUGGAUUCAGAGUGGCGGUUUAUGAUUCGGGUGACCGUGAAUCAGUCAUGGCUCUCAUCAGGGAGAGCAAUGUAAUGUUUUGGCCAAUCCCAAUGAGGCAGAGGAAUGGGCCAGUUAUUUUUUUUUUUACUGAAUAAAAUACUUCAUUAAUAAUAA
Punica granatum (pomegranate) is the source of this 1449-nucleotide non-coding RNA. The record is from RefSeq and is a predicted model, not a curated record. NCBI's taxonomy places the organism in Eukaryota, Viridiplantae, Streptophyta, Magnoliopsida, Myrtales, Lythraceae.